RNAcentral lists this ribosomal RNA (430 nucleotides) under Klebsiella pneumoniae. RNAcentral's name for it is "bacterial SSU rRNA". It matches the Rfam family "Bacterial small subunit ribosomal RNA", at positions 351 to 798 of the family's 1533-position model. The record is from RNAcentral. Lineage: Bacteria; Pseudomonadati; Pseudomonadota; Gammaproteobacteria; Enterobacterales; Enterobacteriaceae.
GCAGUGGGGAAUAUUGGACAAUGGGCGCAAGCCUGAUCCAGCCAUGCCGCGUGGGUGAUGAAGGCCCUAGGGUUGUAAAGCCCUUUCGGCGGGGAAGAUAAUGACGGUACCCGCAGAAGAAGCCCCGGCUAACUUCGUGCCAGCAGCCGCGGUAAUACGAAGGGGGCUAGCGUUGCUCGGAAUCACUGGGCGUAAAGGGUGCGUAGGCGGGUCUUUAAGUCAGGGGUGAAAUCCUGGAGCUCAACUCCAGAACUGCCUUUGAUACUGAAGAUCUUGAGUCCGGGAGAGGUGAGUGGAACUGCGAGUGUAGAGGUGAAAUUCGUAGAUAUUCGCAAGAACACCAGUGGCGAAGGCGGCUCACUGGUCCGGUACUGACGCUGAGGUGCGAAAGCGUGGGGAGCAAACAGGAUUAGAUACCCUAGUAGUCCAC